Molecule: transfer RNA, 74 nt
Filed under: candidate division SR1 bacterium CG_4_9_14_3_um_filter_40_9
Lineage: Bacteria; Candidatus Absconditibacteriota
Description: tRNA-Pro
Rfam family: tRNA
About the family: Transfer RNA (tRNA) molecules are approximately 80 nucleotides in length.
Source: RNAcentral
CGGGGAUUAGCUCAGAUGGCUAGAGCACUCGCUUUGGGAGCGAGGGGUCGAGAGUUCGAGUCCCUCAUCCCCGA